UACGUAGGGUGCAAGCGUUAAUCGGAAUUACUGGGCGUAAAGCGUGCGCAGGCGGUUUUGUAAGUCAGAUGUGAAAUCCCCGGGCUUAACCUGGGAAUGGCAUUUGGGACUGCAAGGCUUGAGUUUGGCAGAGGAGACUGGAAUUCCUGGUGUAGCAGUGAAAUGCGUAGAUAUCAGGAGGAAUACCGAUGGCGAAGGCAGGUCUCUGGGCUAGAACUGACGCUCAUGCACGAAAGCGUGGGGAGCAAACAGG
Molecule: ribosomal RNA, 253 nt
Filed under: uncultured bacterium
Lineage: Bacteria
Description: partial 16S ribosomal RNA
Rfam family: Bacterial small subunit ribosomal RNA
Source: RNAcentral